This 776-nucleotide ribosomal RNA is filed under the name uncultured Neocallimastigales. RNAcentral describes it as "partial large subunit ribosomal RNA". It matches the Rfam family "Eukaryotic large subunit ribosomal RNA", at positions 23 to 626 of the family's 3401-position model. The record is from RNAcentral. Lineage: Eukaryota; Fungi; Neocallimastigomycota; Neocallimastigomycetes; Neocallimastigales.
GAGAGAGACAUGCGCGCAUAUCAAUAAGCGGAGGAAAAGAAACUAACAAGGAUUCCCUUAGUAACGGCGAGUGAAGGCGGGAAGAGCUCAAAUUUGAAAUCUUCAAGGUUUUACCUUGACGAAUUGUAGUUUAAAGAAGUGUUUUCUGCUGAAGUUUUGGUAAAAGUUCUUUGGAAUAGGACAUCAUAGAGGGUGAGAAUCCCGUAUUUGACCAUUAUUUUCAGCUUUGUGAUACACUUUCAAAGAGUCGGAUUGUUUGGGAAUGCAGUCCAAAAUGGGUGGUAAAUUUCAUCUAAAGCUAAAUAUUGGCGAGAGACCGAUAGCGAACAAGUACCGUGAGGGAAAGAUGAAAAGAACUUUGAAAAGAGAGUUAAACAGUACGUGAAAUUGUCAAAAGGGAAGCGUUUGACACCAGUGUUGUUUUCUCGAAAAUCAAUUAAAAAUGGCUCGAUUUUGUAUUGCUUGAGACCUUAAAAGCUCACUGUACAUUUUUCGUGUCUUUUUUAAUGCACUUUUCGUUUAACAAGUCAACAUCAGUUUCUUUUGUUGUAAAAGGGUCAUUGGAAGGUGGCUUUCUUUUCGGAGAAAGUGUUUAUAGCCUUUGGCCUCUGCAAUCGGAAGAGACUGAGGUCUGCAGCGUAGACUCUUCGGGGUUAGAUACAUUUGUGCUAAGUUAUAGCUUUUUAUAGACAACUUGUUGACUAUAAUUAGUCUUGUAGCUUACUCGCUUAUGCUAUUUUACCUACGCUUAGGAUGUUGAGUCGUAGAGCACGCAG